Small nucleolar RNA from Salvia miltiorrhiza (redroot sage), 134 nucleotides. The record is from RefSeq and is a predicted model, not a curated record. Lineage: Eukaryota; Viridiplantae; Streptophyta; Magnoliopsida; Lamiales; Lamiaceae.
AUCCCAGAUAAGCUAAUUGAUUUGGUUCUUAUCUGAUUCAUGGGAGGCACAGAUCAAAGUUCUGGGAGUUUCGCUAAUAACGCCGUUUACUAUUCUUAAAAGACGGCGUUUACUAGUAGCUUCACCAUACAUUA